AUGAACGCUAGCUACAGGCUUAACACAUGCAAGUCGAGGGGCAGCAUUUCAGUUUGCUUGCACACUGGAGAUGGCGACCGGCGCACGGGUGAGUAACACGUAUCCAACCUGCCGAUAACUCGGGGAUAGCCUUUCGAAAGAAAGAUUAAUACCCGAUGGUAUAAUCAGACCGCAUGGUCUUGUUAUUAAAGAAUUUCGGUUAUCGAUGGGGAUGCGUUCCAUUAGGCAGUUGGUGAGGUAACGGCUCACCAAACCUUCGAUGGAUAGGGGUUCUGAGAGGAAGGUCCCCCACAUUGGAACUGAGACACGGUCCAAACUCCUACGGGAGGCAGCAGUGAGGAAUAAUUGGUCAAUGGGCGCAGGCCUGAACCAGCCAAGUAGCGCGAAGGAUGACUGCCCUAUGGGUUGUAAACUUCUUUUAUAUGGGAAUAAAGUUUUCCACGUGCGGAAUUUUGUAUGUACCAUAUGAAUAAGGAUCGGCUAACUCCGUGCCAGCAGCCGCGGUAAUACGGAGGAUCCGAGCGUUAUCCGGAUUUAUUGGGUUUAAAGGGAGCGUAGGUGGACAGUUAUGUCAGUUGUGAAAGUUUGCGGCUCAACCGUAAAAUUGCAGUUGAUACUGGCUGUCUUGAGUACAGUAGAGGUGGGCGGAAUUCGUGGUGUAGCGGUGAAAUGCUUAGAUAUCACGAAGAACUCCGAUUGCGAAGGCAGCUCACUGGACUGCAACUGACACUGAUGCUCGAAAGUGUGGGUAUCAAACAGGAUUAGAUACCCUGGUAGUCCACACAGUAAACGAUGAAUACUCGCUGUUUGCGAUAUACAGUAAGCGGCCAAGCGAAAGCAUUAAGUAUUCCACCUGGGGAGUACGCCGGCAACGGUGAAACUCAAAGGAAUUGACGGGGGCCCGCACAAGCGGAGGAACAUGUGGUUUAAUUCGAUGAUACGCGAGGAACCUUACCCGGGCUUAAAUUGCAUUUGAAUAUAUUGGAAACAGUAUAGCCGUAAGGCAAAUGUGAAGGUGCUGCAUGGUUGUCGUCAGCUCGUGCCGUGAGGUGUCGGCUUAAGUGCCAUAACGAGCGCAACCCUUAUCUUUAGUUACUAACAGGUCAUGCUGAGGACUCUAGAGAGACUGCCGUCGUAAGAUGUGAGGAAGGUGGGGAUGACGUCAAAUCAGCACGGCCCUUACGUCCGGGGCUACACACGUGUUACAAUGGGGGGUACAGAAGGCAGCUACCUGGUGACAGGAUGCUAAUCCCAAAAGCCUCUCUCAGUUCGGAUCGAAGUCUGCAACCCGACUUCGUGAAGCUGGAUUCGCUAGUAAUCGCGCAUCAGCCAUGGCGCGGUGAAUACGUUCCCGGGCCUUGUACACACCGCCCGUCAAGCCAUGAAAGCCGGGGGUACCUGAAGUACGUAACCGCAAGGAGCGUCCUAGGGUAAAACUGGUAAUUGGGGC
Molecule: ribosomal RNA, 1450 nt
Filed under: uncultured bacterium
Lineage: Bacteria
Description: bacterial SSU rRNA
Rfam family: Bacterial small subunit ribosomal RNA
Source: RNAcentral